Molecule: ribosomal RNA, 201 nt
Filed under: uncultured bacterium
Lineage: Bacteria
Description: partial 16S ribosomal RNA
Rfam family: Bacterial small subunit ribosomal RNA
Source: RNAcentral
ACGCUCGACACCUACGGGAGGCAGCAGUGGGGAAUAUUGCACAAUGGGGGAAACCCUGAUGCAGCGACGCCGCGUGAAGGAAGAAGUAUCUCGGUAUGUAAACUUCUAUCAGCAGGGAAAGAAAAUGACGGUACCUGACUAAGAACGCCCCGGCUAACUACGUGCCAUCAGCCGCGGUAAUCUGAGGCGGGCUGGCAAGGC